UCACUUUUCUGAUUUUAGAAACACAAGAAAUAAGAAGACCAUUUUGAGAAGAACAGAGAGUAGCCUUAAGAAAAUCCCUGUCGCAAGCACUCUGGGAUUUGGACUCAAAUGCUAAUUAUACAUGGUAACCUUAAUAUGUACAAUACACAUUCUUGUUUAUGGAAUAUGAGUACUCAGGAUGUCCAUCAAAUUAUUUUGGUCAGUUUUAAUUUUUGUAGUGUUUAAA
RNAcentral lists this long non-coding RNA (226 nucleotides) under Homo sapiens (human). RNAcentral's name for it is "non-protein coding lnc-KLHL32-4:11". The record is from RNAcentral. Lineage: Eukaryota; Metazoa; Chordata; Mammalia; Primates; Hominidae.